UGAGCAGGCCUGCACUGCCAUAACAAUAGCAAUGGUUGCUGUCCUGGCAUGUCAGCCCCAGAACCAAUCCACGAGAUGUCCACUUGCGCUAGACUUGAGCUCUUUGUGCCCGAUUUUAGGAGUUUUAGAUCUGAUCACCAUAGCUGAGGUCUGGCUUUAUACCAGGACUGCUCAACUUCAGCCCUCCUGUAGAUGCUGGCCUACAACUAGAGGAUGAACUCCAGCAUAGCUUGACCUCUUUCUUCCUUCUUCCACCUUCUGAAAGAUGAAGUUGUCAACAAGGCAGAUCAAGGACCUCCCACUCUUAGCAAACUUUGAUCCAGUUCGAACAACACGGCAACCCUCAGUUACACUACCCUGGUGUUAUUCAGGGUCUAUAAUAAAGAACAGAGGUCUAUAAUAAAUUCCCACAAUGG
This is a long non-coding RNA of Hemicordylus capensis (graceful crag lizard), 416 nucleotides long. RefSeq lists it as uncharacterized. The record is from RefSeq and is a predicted model, not a curated record. The transcript is spliced from 3 exons. Lineage: Eukaryota; Metazoa; Chordata; Lepidosauria; Squamata; Cordylidae.